This is a non-coding RNA of Angiostrongylus costaricensis, 113 nucleotides long. NCBI's taxonomy places the organism in Eukaryota, Metazoa, Nematoda, Chromadorea, Rhabditida, Metastrongylidae. The record is from Rfam.
UGAACCAUGCCUGAGCUGGACGAACUCAGAGAAAGCUCUUGUGAAAGUCCGUAUCGGUUCUGACGUCCAAAGCGAUCGAUAGACUUGGGUAUAGGAGCGCAAGACUAAUCAAA